UGCAGCUGAGGUAGGGAAGUUUUUAAAGCCUCUUCAGGUGACUGUGAAGCAUAGAGCGUAUUACUGCUCAAGAGUUUCAGAGUCAGAAUCGAGUAAGUGACACAAGUCUCCAGUGAAUCUUCCCAGUGUUUCGGAAUCGAGUUGUCAUGUGGGAAGUAGUCCUAUGGAGAGGCCCAGGUGGCAAGAAACUGAUGUCUCCAGCUCUCAGCCAGCAAGGACCCGAGGCCCGCCGACACCCAGGCUAAAGGAAUUAAGAUACGACUGAAAAGAAGCUCCUCUUCAUAUUCAGAACUGCUAAUUCCCUCUAAAAAGGAGAGAAUUAAGAUCAAUGAAUACCAACAAUGGAGAAGACACCGCUUACAAUGUUGUAACAGUAAGUCAUCUAACCAUCUACUUGUAUCAUGUCUAGCAAACUUCAUUGUUCGAUCUUACUUGCUUUCUCCAAGACACCUGAAUUUUCCUGAAGCUUUCUUUCUUGACUUCAAUGACAUCUCCCAUGUUUCACCUUUAUUUUUCUAUUUCUAUGGUUCCCUUUUCAGUCUUCCCCAGACGCUGAGCUCUCCUUCUUCAAUCUAACCUGCCAAAUGGCAAUAUUUCUUAUGGCUCUGACUUAGGUACUUGUCUUCCGUAACACCUUGUGUGAAACAUUCAAAGCUUAAGAAAAAAAAAAAAAGUCCCUGCAUGAGGGUUUCCAGCAUCUGUAUUUUAGCAUCUUUCUUUUCUGGGCUCCAGAUCUACUUUGUUUGAUAGAAAGUUGAGUAUCUUCAUGUCAGCAUCCCACAGACACCUGCUAUAGCACACUCUAGCUAGAUCGAUCAUAACCUCUAUUCUUCUAGUAUUUGAUAUAUGAAGAUUAUAAAUGAAUUCUAGAGAUCAUAAAUAUCAUUAAUGAAUUCUACCAAUGCUAUUAAUCCCAAUUUCAAGCACCAAAUUAAAUCUGAUACCUUCCCAAGUUUGAGAAAAAAAGCUUCUGUAAUUAAAUAUUUCUAGGUACAGAUUCUUCUAUUAAGAUACAUAUAAUAAUGUAAACGUCUAAAUUUAUACAGUCCUCUUAAAGUUAUUUUAGAUGUUAGCUCAUUUAUCAUCAAUGACCUUGUGAUGUUGGAGAUGUAAAACUUUAGGCCCUCCUUUUGUUUGGUUGGAUGGAGGAAAUGAACAGAGAUAAGCACUUGAGAGAGACAAGUGACUUGCUCAAGGCCACCCACUAUGUCAGCCGGAAGGUCACCCAGGUUUCCCAACUUUCAAUCCAAUCCUUUUUGGUACACUAUGCUCUUGUUUAAAAGACGUUUCUAUUAAGAACAUGUGAAGCAUCUGUAUAUAAAUUUUACCAA
Long non-coding RNA from Cebus imitator (Panamanian white-faced capuchin), 1331 nucleotides. RefSeq lists it as uncharacterized. Lineage: Eukaryota; Metazoa; Chordata; Mammalia; Primates; Cebidae. The transcript is spliced from 3 exons. The record is from RefSeq and is a predicted model, not a curated record.